GAGAGAGAGAGAGAGAGAGAUUGAUUAAUAAGAAGACUGGAAGAGGAAUAUUGUCGAACACUUUCAAGUAAGUACGUACCUCUCCCACAAAUAAGCGAAUGGGGAUAUAGUAAGGGCGGAGAAGACCUGUCGAUAAGCAACAAGGACAAAAGGGUUCAUUCCUGCGUCUAAGGCGAG
Long non-coding RNA from Telopea speciosissima, 177 nucleotides. RefSeq lists it as uncharacterized. NCBI's taxonomy places the organism in Eukaryota, Viridiplantae, Streptophyta, Magnoliopsida, Proteales, Proteaceae. The transcript is spliced from 3 exons. The record is from RefSeq and is a predicted model, not a curated record.